This 73-nucleotide transfer RNA is filed under the name Halichoeres tenuispinis (Chinese wrasse). Its description in RNAcentral is "tRNA-Ser". The record is from RNAcentral. Lineage: Eukaryota; Metazoa; Chordata; Actinopteri; Labriformes; Labridae.
GGAGAGAGGCCUGCUAGCAACCUAGAUUGCUAACCUUCGUGACCCAGGUUGGACUCCUGGGCUCUUCUCGUUG